Molecule: long non-coding RNA, 256 nt
Organism: Mesocricetus auratus (golden hamster)
Lineage: Eukaryota; Metazoa; Chordata; Mammalia; Rodentia; Cricetidae
Exons: 3
Source: RefSeq, a predicted model, not a curated record
CCACUGUGGAGGGAGACUGUGUCUUGCCCCUCAUUCCAGGGCCACUGUGAACAAACAGUGGGUGAGAUUCCGGGCUCGGAAUGAUACUGGUGUGUACAGAAGCAGACAGGUGCAGGGAAGGGGAGUCUCUUUUUGUGAACAGCCCAAGUCACAGUGCUGCCACAAUUGAGAGCAGCCAGGUGAGCAAGGCAACAAGGGAGGAGAGAGUCCAACAGCUGCUAACUGGAGAGUCACACCGGCCAAUCUCCCAAAACCC